Molecule: ribosomal RNA, 1506 nt
Filed under: metagenome
Description: bacterial SSU rRNA
Rfam family: Bacterial small subunit ribosomal RNA
Source: RNAcentral
AGAGUUUGAUCCUGGCUCAGGACGAACGCUGGCGGCGUGCCUAAUACAUGCAAGUAGAACGCUGAAGAGAGGAGCUUGCUCUUCUUGGAUGAGUUGCGAACGGGUGAGUAACGCGUAGGUAACCUGCCUUGUAGCGGGGGAUAACUAUUGGAAACGAUAGCUAAUACCGCAUAACAAUGGAUGACCCAUGUCAUUUAUUUGAAAGGGGCAAAUGCUCCACUACAAGAUGGACCUGCGUUGUAUUAGCUAGUAGGUGAGGUAACGGCUCACCUAGGCGACGAUACAUAGCCGACCUGAGAGGGUGAUCGGCCACACUGGGACUGAGACACGGCCCAGACUCCUACGGGAGGCAGCAGUAGGGAAUCUUCGGCAAUGGGGGCAACCCUGACCGAGCAACGCCGCGUGAGUGAAGAAGGUUUUCGGAUCGUAAAGCUCUGUUGUAAGUCAAGAACGAGUGUGAGAGUGGAAAGUUCACACUGUGACGGUAGCUUACCAGAAAGGGACGGCUAACUACGUGCCAGCAGCCGCGGUAAUACGUAGGUCCCGAGCGUUGUCCGGAUUUAUUGGGCGUAAAGCGAGCGCAGGCGGUUUGAUAAGUCUGAAGUUAAAGGCUGUGGCUCAACCAUAGUUCGCUUUGGAAACUGUCAAACUUGAGUGCAGAAGGGGAGAGUGGAAUUCCAUGUGUAGCGGUGAAAUGCGUAGAUAUAUGGAGGAACACCGGUGGCGAAAGCGGCUCUCUGGUCUGUAACUGACGCUGAGGCUCGAAAGCGUGGGGAGCGAACAGGAUUAGAUACCCUGGUAGUCCACGCCGUAAACGAUGAGUGCUAGGUGUUGGAUCCUUUCCGGGAUUCAGUGCCGCAGCUAACGCAUUAAGCACUCCGCCUGGGGAGUACGACCGCAAGGUUGAAACUCAAAGGAAUUGACGGGGGCCCGCACAAGCGGUGGAGCAUGUGGUUUAAUUCGAAGCAACGCGAAGAACCUUACCAGGUCUUGACAUCCCGAUGCUAUUUCUAGAGAUAGAAAGUUACUUCGGUACAUCGGUGACAGGUGGUGCAUGGUUGUCGUCAGCUCGUGUCGUGAGAUGUUGGGUUAAGUCCCGCAACGAGCGCAACCCCUAUUGUUAGUUGCCAUCAUUCAGUUGGGCACUCUAGCGAGACUGCCGGUAAUAAACCGGAGGAAGGUGGGGAUGACGUCAAAUCAUCAUGCCCCUUAUGACCUGGGCUACACACGUGCUACAAUGGUUGGUACAACGAGUUGCGAGUCGGUGACGGCAAGCUAAUCUCUUAAAGCCAAUCUCAGUUCGGAUUGUAGGCUGCAACUCGCCUACAUGAAGUCGGAAUCGCUAGUAAUCGCGGAUCAGCACGCCGCGGUGAAUACGUUCCCGGGCCUUGUACACACCGCCCGUCACACCACGAGAGUUUGUAACACCCGAAGUCGGUGAGGUAACCUUUUGGAGCCAGCCGCCUAAGGUGGGAUAGAUGAUUGGGGUGAAGUCGAAACAAGGUA